This 253-nucleotide ribosomal RNA is filed under the name uncultured bacterium. RNAcentral's name for it is "partial 16S ribosomal RNA". It matches the Rfam family "Bacterial small subunit ribosomal RNA", at positions 524 to 776 of the family's 1533-position model. The record is from RNAcentral.
UACAGAGGUCUCAAGCGUUGUUCGGAUUCAUUGGGCGUAAAGGGUGCGUAGGCGGCGGGGCAAGUCAGGUGUGAAAUCUCGGGGCUCAACCCCGAAACUGCACUUGAUACUGCCUUGCUCGAGUACUGGAGAGGAGACUGGAAUUUACGGUGUAGCAGUGAAAUGCGUAGAUAUCGUAAGGAAGACCAGUGGCGACGGCGAGUCUCUGGACAGUUACUGACGCUGAGGCACGAAGGCCAGGGGAGCAAACGGG